RNAcentral lists this ribosomal RNA (258 nucleotides) under Triticum aestivum (bread wheat). RNAcentral's name for it is "partial small subunit ribosomal RNA". Lineage: Eukaryota; Viridiplantae; Streptophyta; Magnoliopsida; Poales; Poaceae. The record is from RNAcentral.
AUGGCGCCGGUGGUUGCGCUGCUCAGUUUUGGCUUCUUCGAAAGAGGAUUCCUAGUGGUUGGGAGAUGCGUUGAGGUUGGCCUGCCAAUGUUAAUCCUCUUUGUUGUGCUUUCCCAGCCCGAACUGAAGUAUUUCGACAAUCCGGGCCUCAAACGGCCCUUCUCCCACUACUAUGUCGAUCUUGAACUGAUGCUGUUGUCACCUAUCUACCUCCUUCCUUGGUUGAUGAGGAUGUUGAUUUUACAAAAGGAUCUGUGA